Molecule: non-coding RNA, 5555 nt
Organism: Saimiri boliviensis boliviensis (Bolivian squirrel monkey)
Lineage: Eukaryota; Metazoa; Chordata; Mammalia; Primates; Cebidae
Source: RefSeq, a predicted model, not a curated record
GUGUGGUGGCACGCACCUGUAGUUCCAGCUCCUCGGGAGGCUGAAGCGGGAGGCUCGCUUGAGCCUGGGAGGUCAAGGCUGCAGUGAGUAUGAUUGUGUCACUUGCACUCCAGCCUGGGCGACAGAGCAAGACCCUGCUACCCACCUCCCCCAGAAAACCAAGAAAGACCAACGUGGAGAGUUGGUCGCCCAUCUGCUCCAAGCUGCUGUGUAUUCCCUGUAAUGUAAACAUCGUGAAGAUGGAGACCCAGUUAACCUUUUAGGUGGAGGGCCAGAUGAUAGAGGGCGACAUCUGACCCGGAAGGCAUUCUGCAACCAGGCCUAACACAUCUACAGGGAACCAGUGGGAAACAUCUGGGGAGGACAACCCAAAUAAGUAUCUUGCGAGCAAGGGAUGGUUUGAGAACUUUAAAAAUCACUGCUGUUUUGCAACAUAUGAAGUUGAUGGGGGAGGAAGGACCCUUACAUGCUGAAUGGGCACUGAGUAUUCCAAGCAACUGGAGAGAGGUUGUGUGCCUCAACAGGUUUUCAAUGCCAAAGAGAUGACCCAUCUUUCGAAGUGCAUGCCUUCCUACUUUUGGGGCAAAAAACCAAAAAUCUGGAAAGCUUAGAGGAAGCUAAGGAAAGGAUUUCCCUCAUUUUUUGUGGCAGUGCCUCAGGUGACAAUGGUAAACCACUGCUGCUUUACAAAGGCUCUAAUCCCCAACUUGUCUUUUAGAAACAGAUAAACACCUUUCUGUUUUCUUGUGAUCACACCCAGAAUCACCACUGCCACUUUUUGGAUUGGUUUCGUUAUUGUUCAAGUCCGAAGUCAUUUAACAGAAAUCAAAUCUGGAAAUCAGAAUGUUGCUAGUUGUGGACAGAGGUCCCACUCACCCAGCCUCAUUAUUCUUUGUUCUUUCUAAUGUCGAUAUUGUGUUUGUCCCUCAGGGAACCCCUAGCUUUCUUCAACCCUUGGGUCAGGGUAUAUCUGAAGCAUUUGGGAGGUAUUACACCAAGCAUAUGUUUGACUGCUUUGCUGCCUGUAUUUAAAAAAACCCUCACCUUACUCUGAAAGAAACAUGACAACAGGACAAUAUUGCUGAUGCUUUAGUAGUGAUAAAAGAGGUGAUGGGUGAUAGAAAACCAGCCACUCGUAAGCUUGCUGGAAAGUUCAGGAGGAUGUGUGAAUGAUUAUGCAUGUUUCCCUAGAGCUAAUGAAGUUAAAAAAAAUCUUAGUGUCUGCAAAACAGAUGAGUUUAAGAUUCAGUGAUAUCAGGGAAAGUAAAAUUAAUGAGCUACUCAAGUUUCAUUGUUUGGUAAUAACUGAGAGUCUAUGUCCAUAGGAAAAAAUGUUUGCAGACAGAGGAAAUUUAAUGCUGUCUGAUGCCAGACCGCACACCUCACUGAUGCUAUAAUUGAUAUGGAUCCUUUCCUCAAUCGAAGCUUGACUUUUAAAAGAGAUUUCAAUAAAUUGCUUAUACUUAUAAAGAGAUGUAAAAGAACCUUCAAAAUAAAGCAAAAGACUUGAAGAAAGAGAAGGAAGUCAUGAUGAAAAGGAUGUCAUUUGGGUGAAGGUGAUGGAUACAGAAUCUGAGUCUGAGGGGAAAUCUGACUCUGAAUCGGGAUCCAAUAAGGAGCAGAAGAAGAUGGAGGAUAAGAAGCUGCCAGAAGAAACGCCUGGACCCUCCAGCAUGGCACUCAGAGUCAUGAUAUGUCUGAAGAAACUGUCCAAGCCAUUAAUGUGAAAUUGAACCUUUGCAAUGUAACCUUGGACGUGAAUCUGGAGAGAGUAUAAGUCCCUGAAUUGAAGGACAAAGAGGUUCCAGAGGCCAUCCUUCCCUUGUUACCCCUACGUCAUUUCCAUCACUACCAUCGUCCUUUUUUCAUCACCAGCAACACAUCUGUAUCAUUUAGUCAUUUAACAAACAUUGAGCUUAAACUCUGCAGGGCUCUGAGCUAAACUUGGGGACAAUGGCUCAGGAAAUCAUCUCAGAAUCUGAGAUCCUGGCAACUUCUUUUCUGACACACCCCAUGCUCAUGUUCAAGGCCCUUAUUGUGCAGCGCCACUCACCUGUGACCUGCAGCUAUGUCUUUGGCACUCACUGCAUCAUCUUUGUCAACUGUUCCUAUGAGAAAAUUGCCAGAGACAUUGUCAGGUAUGGUGAAAUGGCUUAGGUGUGGCGCCAGGAGGCUCAAAAAGCUACGGGAUGCUCCAGAGGGGCCACUAUUGUGCCCCUCUUGCUUCUGACAACGCUGUCCAUCCAAUGAUGAACUGUGAUUUAUUAAGCAUGUUAUGGGAACUUUAAAAUACCUCAUUCAGCAGAAAGGAGGCAGAGGAUUAUAAUCCCCAUUUGACAGAUGGGACACUGAGGCCCAAGUCCUCAUGUUUCUUCAGUCUGGAAAGUGAAGAGAACUUGCACUGUGUGACAAGGGCCAGGCAAAAGAAACAGGAGAGAAGGAGAGAUUCCUGUAGACCUGACCUGGGUGGUCAGGAAAGAUCCCUUGGAAAAGGCUAUACAUCCCUUUGAAAUCUCAGAGGUCUUUAGUCUCCCUGUGGAUCAAGGACAUGUGUACUAUUUAAAGUGGCUUGAGGAAGGCAUGGAAGAGGACUGAGUGAGUGAAGCUUUUUGUGCAUGCCGCUGGCUGCCUCCAGCCUUCAUCAGCUGCACUCUGGGGAAGAGGGGGCCUCCUUCUACUUCCCAGCAUCUCUGGAUUCCAUGUUCCUGUCAGCGCAGAGGAGCUAAAUUGCCUGUGGAGGCUGAAGGUCUCAGGUUCCUGAAGCUGGAAGAAAAGGCUGGGCCAGUCAGGCCAAGCAAGAACCCAGUAUAACUUGUCUCUGAGUGCUUCAUGGUUAACGGGGAUCGGGGAUACGAGGGCUCGAGGAUGGUUGUGUGGAGACUGAGGGCAAGAGGCAGUGAGGGUGAGACUUGUCAUAUUCUUGAGUCACUAGGCCUACCUGAAGUGCCUAGGAUGUAAUUGCUCUGCUGCUUCUCAUGGGGAGGAGUGGCCUCAGUGACCUUGUUCACCUGGAAGAGUGUGGGAUGAAUGCCUCCUCCUAGGGGGACUGGCAAGUGCUUUAUCAAAAAGAUAAAUUACUAAUGGUGCCAUUUCAUGGAUCAGCAGGAUUAUUUCUCCUUGCUAAAGAGGCUUUUGUUGCUUCUGAAUUCUGACGAUGUGGGACUAGGAAUGGGCUCCACGAGCUUGUGUAUAAAUUCAGGGAAUAUUAGGACUUUGGCACAGCCUCAUGGGUUGGGAGUAAGUCUUGCUUCUUCCCUAGCCUGAAUCACAGACAUCAGGUCAUUCUGGUGCCUUGUCAGUGAAGAUGUAGAUUCUGAGCCCACCAAACUAACCUUUUCCCUUGCACACAGAAGCAGCCCCAGGAAUCAGACCCGUGUCUUUCAGGUUUGCUUCACAGAGCCCCCGAAGUUGACAAAAGGUACCUUGGAGGCUCCCUGCAUGGGGAUUUUUUAAAAAGCUUUGUUAAAGAUUUGUAAACCACCCCUCUGAGCCAGUUUUCCUUUUAUAGAUUACUGCAGGAAACUGAACUGCAUGGAGGCCCAGAAAGAGGGUGGUGCAACCUGGGCUGCUCAUCCUCUGUUUCAUGCUCUCUUGUACCUGCUCCAUGGGUUUGUGGUGGAAGAGGGCAGGGAAGGCAGUGGCCUGCUGAGCCCCAUGGACUAAGAAGAAGGGAAAUUUGCCCCAGAAACCCCUCUGAAUCUGUCAUGAGGUAACUCCAUUCUGUGGAGACUAUGGGCAGUUUGGGUGGGGGUCUACAGAUAGCUGUUAUAUCUUGGGCCUCUCCUUGAGGGGAGGGUGUGCAGGAGGGCUAAUGCCAGGCUGUAGUUCUGACAAUUACUGUACUUCUUGGAUCUUUGUGCUCCCAAAUAUCAAAUGGAAGAGGAUCUCUAAGAGUCCUUUGCAAAGAUCUUGUAGGGACUUUAGGCUGAGGCCCUUGGAAAGUUCCAGAGGGUUCUAAUGGAGAUUUCGAGGGACUGCCUCAGAAGAACAAAGAGAAUGAUAAUGGUGAUGUCCCUUGCUUUUUACAACAGAUCAUGUUCUGAUAUAUAUGCAAAUUUGUGUAAAGUAGAACCUAAAUGUACUGGGGACCCAAGACAUACUGCCUCUAUUGCUUCCAGGAGAAAGUCCAAUUUCUAGGUCUGGUUUUUAUAACCUUGCUUCAGCUCACCUUUUCAGUCAUCAUCCCCUGCAUCUCCUCUCCCACUUUGGGAAAUGGAUGGCUCCACUAUACUGUGUGAUGUUAUUCCUGUUUCUGCUGUCCCCUCUGCCCGGAAUGCCCUUCUGCAUGAAUGCUUGUGAAAUAUUGCUGCUCCUUUGUAUGGCCUGGCUUCCGUGAUUGGGAGGAAUCUCUUCUGUCGUUGUAUUCCUGUCAUCUUUGUGCAUCACAGUCGGCUUUAUAUUCCUAGGUUGUAAGCUGCUUGAGGAUAGGGGCAUGUCUGAAUCUAUUUAAUCUCUUGUACCUGUUUGGCAAAUUGAUGUCUUAAGUAUUUAAUUAACUAAAGCUCUCUCUACAGUUCAUAGUCACUUUUGAUUUAUGGAAUUAGCAAAUUCAACUUUUUCCCUUGAAUAUUCUUAAAGUGAGACUAAUUCCAAAGGAGAUUUUUCUGUCUGUGGCCUUCAUUGGGUGGUUUUCUGUUAUCAGAAAACUCCUGGUGGCCUUCCUCUUCCCUGGUGUCAAGUUGACUAUUGUAGGAAACGGGAGGGGAAAGGGCCAUUUCUGCCAGGCAUUGUCCUCAGUUCCUUAACAUUAAUCCUUAUAAUGCAUUGUUAUCCUCAUUUUACAGGUGAAACCUGAGAUCAGAGAGCAUGAAACACGUAAAGUAUGUGGCAGAGCUAGGAUGUGAACCCAACUCUGAUUCUAAACCUAAUGCUCUUACUUUUUCUGAGGUUCAUUAAGUUCUUUGUAGGCCAUAGAUCCAGAGAAGCUGCCGCAGCCAACAGUAGAAUUAUUAGUUCUUAAAACAUUUGUGCAGUAGUUUGGUCUGGCACUUAAAAAUGUAUUGUUUACUACUCACCACAGAUCUUCAGGAGUUCACUGAUCUCUACAGUCUGCCUUAACUCCAACUUACGUGGUUUGGCCACUAUUACGUAUUGUCAUCCCAGAAUGAUGCUGCAGAGGCUGGGGCUAGGACCCAGACCAGUGUUUCCAUGUGGGAAUUCCCUCCCAGUAUUUCUUAGGAAAUGUAUGUUUUUUGAAUUCUUAAUCCCUAGAAAAAUCAGUUGAGGAAAUGAGAAGUAUUAUAAUUAUUCUGUGAAAACUAACACCAUUAUAGAGACAUUACUGGUUUGAAAGAAUCCAGCUUCAUCAAAUAUAACAUACUGAGUUGAAGGCUACAAUAACAGAGACAGGAGCAUAGCUGAGAGAAAUGAUCGCCAUCUAAUUAGCCUUACUUUUGGUUGCUGUGAUGUCACUAAGUGUGUAUGUCUGGCCCUAUUGGCUGCGAAUGGUGAGUUCUUGUGAAUGAGCAAAUAAAAUGAUUUGAUAAACAACCUAGCAUACUUGAUACAAAUCUUAUGAAUGGUGUUCCAAGAAAUAAACUUUGGAAGCAAAAUAA